GUGACAGGCCCAAGACAAGCAAGUCUUUGUCAAAUGCUUGCGAUGACAAGGCCAAUGAGCUCCUCCUGCCCCUGAGAGGGCUCCAGCUGCUCCUGACCCUGGGCCUGGCUGUUCAUCUUCUCUUCAGCUUCAAUCUCUUCUGAUGUGGGGAUGGAGUUCUUCUUGGGGCGACCUUUGGGUUUUGUGGGUGCUUCCUGUCCACCUUUAAGAACCUACGGUGACAGUGAGGGUGACCAACAGAUAAUGUGUAUGAAAGGACCAGAACGGCACCUGAAUGCUAACACACAGAUAUUAAGGGGACCUUUAACGAGGUAGAGAUGCUGACAGAAACCAACCCUGGGGAGAAGACGUUCCCUGUAUUUCUUUUCACCUUUAUAGGGCAGCGAGGGCCACAUAACUGAUGACUGUUUCCAUGAAGCUGAGAAACAAGUUUGGAUUCCCCAGCAUGAAUCUCCUCCCAGACACUGCUGCUCCCAUUAGCUGACUUUCUCAGCCUGAAGAUGUGAUGUUCCACUGGACCUCAGGCAAGGCCCCAAAUGCCAAGGCGCUGACUUGGAGAUGACUGGGGAGCAGGGACUGAGAAAGGACAAAUGCUCAGGGCUGUGCGGAGUCCCUGAAACUCAUAGAAUUCACUUUUGGCUUAUGUAUCCUGGCCUCCAAAUAUUUGGAUUCUCUGAAGACAUGGAUUUUGUGGCUAGGUCUUCACCUGCAGCUGAGUGAGUCCCAGAGACUGAGCCAAGUCCAACCUAGAAGGCACAAGAUACAAAGGAAAGAAUCCAACAGAGGAAACUCUGGGAAGCUGAGAAACAGAUGCCCAUGCCUGAGGACACCUGGGCCAGUCCCCAUCCUGAAACAUUCACGGUCUGCAAGGGACCUGAGAAGGAUGCCUGGGGCUUCUCAUCACACAGUCCUUUUCCUGGCUUGACAAGAGCAUUCACUCUGACCCUCUGGCCCAUCGUCCAGACUGGAAACAAAAGGCAAAGCCAGAUGUUGCUGAUGGGAAUCCACUCAUCAUUCCAGACCCAGCCCCGGUCCCACCUCCGGCAGGUGAUUCUCCUGGCUCCCACAGCUCGUCUCCUCUGCACCCUCCCACAGGCCAGCAGUCACCCAGAUGGUCCCACGUUUCCUGCUGUUCUCUGAUCACUCCAACUGUGUUAUUUCUGCCUCCCUAACUCAGUAGCCAGGGCAGCGUAUACCUUCCACUUCUUUUCUACCCAUGAAAGUGCCCAUCACACUGCUAAAUCCAGAACCGGUGCUCAAAAAAUACUUCUUAAUGGAUUGAUUCAAUCGCUGUAGCUGUCCUAAAUUGUUAUAACAAUUAAAAUGUUAUAAAUAAAUAAAUAUUAUAAAGAUUCCAAAAGAAACAUUAAAUCCACAGCCCUUCCUGUUUUCCAUUCUACUGCUAAUCAUGGUGCUGUACUUCUCUGUAGUCUUCUGAAAAGUCCUAAAAGUCAAAGCCAUUUCUGGGGCUAAAUCUAACACACCCACCAUUUCCUGAGCACCACGGCAUCCCAGGGUACAUGCUAAGCCCCUGACAUGCUGUCUUAUCUAUCCCAUUCACAAC
RNAcentral lists this long non-coding RNA (1564 nucleotides) under Homo sapiens (human). Its description in RNAcentral is "HSALNT0365767". The record is from RNAcentral. Lineage: Eukaryota; Metazoa; Chordata; Mammalia; Primates; Hominidae.